AGCUGUGAGGAUGGUCUGGCUGAGACAUUUGUUACCCCAUUGAUUGCAAGGGUUGAUUCAGCUUAUCUGGCUAGUUAGAGGGGUGUCCCCUUCCUCCCUCACCACUCCAUGUGCAUUCUUCCUGAACCUGUGUACUCAAAGAGGAUGACCUUCCUCAAUAGAGAAGGACCAUUCUUUGAUCAAGGGUAUAUGAAUAGCUGAGUUCCCUGCUAGAAGCUCCAAAUAAGCACUCAAGAUUAAUUUUCAUUAGUUUUACUUGAUAUUCUGAGUUCAUUUGAAGACUCAUAUUGUUCUUCACGAGAAGUGCAGAUUCUU
This is an unclassified non-coding RNA of Marmota marmota marmota (Alpine marmot), 315 nucleotides long. Its record names the gene 7SK. It matches the Rfam family "7SK RNA". From Rfam's summary of the family: 7SK was discovered as an abundant small nuclear RNA in the mid-70s but a possible function has only recently been suggested. Two independent studies have found that 7SK RNA binds the CDK9/cyclin T complex (known as elongation factor P-TEFb). The record is from Ensembl. NCBI's taxonomy places the organism in Eukaryota, Metazoa, Chordata, Mammalia, Rodentia, Sciuridae.